Molecule: ribosomal RNA, 578 nt
Filed under: Pichia fermentans
Lineage: Eukaryota; Fungi; Ascomycota; Pichiomycetes; Pichiales; Pichiaceae
Description: partial large subunit ribosomal RNA
Rfam family: Eukaryotic large subunit ribosomal RNA
Source: RNAcentral
UGCAUAAUCCCCAAAACGGAGGAAAAGAAACCAACAGGGAUUGCCCCAGUAGCGGCGAGUGAAGCGGCAAAAGCUCAGAUUUGGAAUCGCUUCGGCGAGUUGUGAAUUGCAGGUUGGCGCCUCUGCGGCGGCGGCGGUCCAAGUCCCUUGGAACAGGGCGCCAUUGAGGGUGAGAGCCCCGUGGGACCGUUUGCCUAUGCUCUGAGGCCCUUCUGACGAGUCGAGUUGUUUGGGAAUGCAGCUCUAAGCGGGUGGUAAAUUCCAUCUAAGGCUAAAUACUGGCGAGAGACCGAUAGCGAACAAGUACUGUGAAGGAAAGAUGAAAAGCACUUUGAAAAGAGAGUGAAACAGCACGUGAAAUUGUUGAAAGGGAAGGGUAUUGCGCCCGACAUGGAGCGUGCGCACCGCUGCCCCUCGUGGGCGGCGCUCUGGGCGUGCUCUGGGCCAGCAUCGGUUUUUGCCGCGGGAGAAGGGCGGCGGGCAUGUAGCUCUUCGGAGUGUUAUAGCCUGCCGCCGGCGCCGCGAGCGGGGACCGAGGACUGCGACUUUCUCGAUGCGCACUGCUGGGAAACGGGAAU